Molecule: ribosomal RNA, 140 nt
Filed under: Escherichia sp. E4702
Lineage: Bacteria; Pseudomonadati; Pseudomonadota; Gammaproteobacteria; Enterobacterales; Enterobacteriaceae
Description: partial 16S ribosomal RNA
Rfam family: Bacterial small subunit ribosomal RNA
Source: RNAcentral
UUAAAUUGAAGAGUUUGAUCAUGGCUCAGAUUGAACGCUGGCGGCAGGCCUAACACAUGCAAGUCGAACGGUAACAGGAAGAAGCUUGCUUCUUUGCUGACGAGUGGCGGACGGGUGAGUAAUGUCGUGGGAAACUGCCU